RNAcentral lists this long non-coding RNA (876 nucleotides) under Gossypium barbadense (sea-island cotton). RNAcentral describes it as "long non-coding RNA (GBAR_LNC004818)". The record is from RNAcentral. Lineage: Eukaryota; Viridiplantae; Streptophyta; Magnoliopsida; Malvales; Malvaceae.
GGGCCACCAAGUUGCGGAUCAACUGAUAUAUCUAGUCACGGUUCAGAAAGUACAGCUUACAAUUCCAGUUCUUUGGCCUCCCUGACUCCUGUGAGUAUAUUGUGAUAAAUUCAUUUAGGAAUUAUGUUUGUACAAACAUCAAAACAUACAAUGACUUCCUGAAAUAACUUGUUGGCUCAAGUUAUUAUGCAACAAGAUCCAAUUUCCAUCUUGUUUGAUUUGUUUUCUAGUAGAUCUAACAAUAUUUUUAUUGGCUGCUGACCUUCUGGGAUAGGUUUACAGCAAAGGAGUUCUCCAGAAUCUAAAAGCUUGCACAUCUAUUAUAUGUAGCCUUCAAUUAGUUUAGCUUAUUGAGCUUUUUUCUCUCUAAAAUGGAUGAAAUUCAAGAUAGCGUUACAUUACAAAUAUGUAAACUAUGAUUGCCUGAUUACCAUGAAUACAGUGACUGGUGCCUCUGAGGCGCUUCAGUCCAAAAUGAAUCUGUCUUCCUAUGGCCUAAAUAUAUCUUCCAAUUCUUUAUUUUAUGAGUCCGUUACCAUAUUAUUGAGACAUAUUUCAUCCUUUCCAUGGGUUACAUAGCGAGGCUUGGAGGUUGAGAUGAAGCGACUUCGAAAAGAAUUAAAGAGAUCCAUGGAUAUGUUUAAAUCAGUUUGCGAAGAAGCUGUUGUAGCAAAAGAUAAGGUAAGAUUGGAUGUUUAUGAUCAUAUGUGAUCUUAUCAAUAAAAACUUAGCAACAUACUUCCAGUUUUCUUGACCGGGCCUUUUCUUUUCCCAGCUGAAGAAGCUUCAGGAAUGGAAAGAAGCAGAAGAGCGCAAAUUAGAGGAAGCCAAGCUUUCUGAGGAGGCAGCAGUGGCUUUGGCAGAGGCAGAAAGGGA